UUAUAAAAAAAAAUUAAUUAAUAAGAAAUUAAAUGAGAUCAUUAAAUUUAGAUAAUUUGGCGGUAUUUUAAAUAGUUAGAGGAAUUUGUCAGUUAAAUGAUACUCCACGAAUGGAAUGUCCUAAUGAAGUUUUUAUGUAUUGUUGUAUAAAAAUUAUUUUAUAAGAAUUAUAAUUAAAAUAUUUAAUUUAAUUUGAAUUCAAAUCAAAAUGUAGAAUUGUUAGGGUUAGAUGAAUUACAGUUUAAUUUAAUAUUGGAGUUAUUUUUUUAAUUAAGAUAAUAAAAAAGGAUUUAAAAGUAAAUUUAAGUAAAUAUUUAAAUUGAAAUAUUAAUUAAAAUAUG
This 341-nucleotide ribosomal RNA is filed under the name Pheidole granulata. Its description in RNAcentral is "partial 12S ribosomal RNA". Lineage: Eukaryota; Metazoa; Arthropoda; Insecta; Hymenoptera; Formicidae. The record is from RNAcentral.